This 30-nucleotide small RNA is filed under the name Bombyx mori (domestic silkworm). RNAcentral's name for it is "ovarian small RNA-12189". Lineage: Eukaryota; Metazoa; Arthropoda; Insecta; Lepidoptera; Bombycidae. The record is from RNAcentral.
AGGCAAUGUUUGGGGCAAUGUUUGUCCCUC